Molecule: long non-coding RNA, 6962 nt
Organism: Gadus macrocephalus (Pacific cod)
Lineage: Eukaryota; Metazoa; Chordata; Actinopteri; Gadiformes; Gadidae
Exons: 7
Source: RefSeq, a predicted model, not a curated record
CUGUGGUGUAUACCUAUGGUUUGUAUCCGUCGUUUGUGUGUGCAUAUGGUUUGUAUCUAUAUGUUGUGUGUAUCAAUAUUGUGUGUGAAUCUAUAUGUGUGUAUCUGUGGUGUGUGCGUGUGUGACAGUUUGACCACUGUCCCUGUCUGUUUAACUGCCCGUCAAUAUCGCGCAUUGAUGGAUAGUGCAUGAACAGCAAACCUUCAAGCAUACAAUAUACAUACAAGCUCUUUAUUCAAGCCACAAACAAUCUCUCCCUCUCACCAUGGCUCCGUACUGCAGACUAAAAGAGUCGGGGUGGGGCUGAGGUGUUUAAAUAUGGUGUCAGGAAACACCUGCUGCCACUGAUUGGCCCAAAUUGGGCCAAACCAUUUUCCCUUGUGUCAAAGGGGGACACUGGACAUUGACAUUGGACAUUAAUGAGCGACAAGCCUCAAUGCACUAGUGAAAAUCACUGAUCUAAAAGUUGAAAUGAACUUUAACAUGCAUGCUGUAUAUAUGAUGAGUUUAUUCAUGGUUGACCUGCAAUAUGCCACAGUAUUAUAAUCCCCCUGUUGAUUGAGCCUGUCUAGUGGGAGGGGCCAUGGGGUAUAAAAGGGCUGAGCUGCUGUCCUUCUGACAGUCUGCUGGAUGCUGUUGCCAGAAGAGGUUGUCUGUGUUGAGCAGGGUGCUCAGCUCUCCACAAGAUGCUAAAUAUUUACUGAGGUCUAUCAUGGAUACUUAACUGCAGUUCUGUGAGUAUCCCAACUUAACCAUGAAGAUGAACUGCAAACUGUAAGUCAUUAAUAUCUCAUUACUCUUGGGCACAUUGAUGUAUUUUGGCUUCCUGGUGAGUUAACCUGUUACCUGAAGGUUGAUCUGAGUAGCAAGGAUGUUUUAUUGGUUCUUGGGUUACUUAGGGAUUUGAUUUAUGUUGGUUUUAAUGAUUUGUUAAAAUGGUUACAGGCUCCAAGUUAUUGUUGUAAGCUGGUGCAAUGGGUUGGGUUCUGACAUCUGCAGUCUUCUUUCAUUCUACUCUCCUGAGCUCUGCAUCUUCAUCACAUGAGUGUUGCUUUACUGAUGAGGGUGAGGUCUGAGUGAGCAGAGGUGCAUACUGGGAUACAGAGCUGUCUGAAGUCUACAGGUCUGUAGACACGCCCCCUCAGGGGAAACGGAGUGUUUGAGAAUCUGUCGUGACGUCAGUUACAUGGACUGGAAUGUUCUUAAAGAUGGAGACAGGGAUUCAGAAGGAGAAACACCAGGGGGAGAUGAGGGGGCUCCUCAUCUCAACGGCUAAAACACAACUUCAGUCUGACAGAGAACCAUGGAACACAUUCAACAGUCCCCUCCAGGCAUCGGGACUCCUCAGGAAGGUUUCAUUUCCAAGGUCUUAUUUGGGGCCAUCCCCAUAUGGAUCCUGCUCCUCAAGAGCCACCCCCCUCCACUGGGUGGUCUACUGAACAGAUGACCUCCUUCCUGUCCUCAGGCUGACUAAAGCUGCACCGUUUGCGUCUGUGAAGGCCCCUCAUUCAGGAAACCACUUGACUACAAAGACAUGACUUCAGAGACGUUGAAUCAACCUGGGACAUAUUUUGGAGACGCAAAGCAUAAUCCAUCACCAAUGUGGGAUGCCACUGAAGAAUGUUGUGCAUAAUUUUUCAUCUCUGGAGAAGUUGGUUGUUCUGUUAUGGGUGCCCUGGCAGGAGGCCUGGGGAGGGGGGGGAAUGGGGAAUGAUGGAAUGUUAUUUGGCAUGAGGUUUUUACCCUGCAUGAUUGUUUGGCCUUUUAUGGCUCAGUGGUGUGUGAGUGUGUUUGGGUUUGACAUGAGAUGUAAGAUUUUUGAGGGUUCUACUGUGUGUGUCUCCCACUCAAACCUGGCAUGGGGUUCUACGUGCCUGGCCUGGGUUCUAUGUGUGUGUCCGGCUUGCUUUGACCGUGAUAAUGUUCAUACGGGGGUCUGUGUGAUUGGCUUGGGAUAUUGGAAUGGUCAACUAAAUCAUACCUGAUGGACGGCCACACGUUUACUCAAGGGCCUCCAGUAGGCAUGAAGAGCCCUGAGCGACGCUCCAGAGCGAUAUCCAACACACUGGGCAGGAAGGAGAGUAUCCAACUAAAGUGUAAAAGGAUGCAAGCGGCGUGUUCAGAUCAGUGACUUCAAAUUAGGACUACACCAAUCAGGAUCAAUGGAGGAUGGACACCAAAAGGAAUUCCACAAGGAGAGUCUGACGUUGGAAAGGGACCUAAAUGGAUUUUCAAGAUGACCUUCAGACCUGUAAUGAGACGGCUCUUCCUACCUGGCCCGAUUGAUGGAGAGCCCUGUGGAAACCUUCACUGGGGCUUCAAGGUAUAAAGAGGAGACUGUUUCAAUGGUAUUCCAUGGUACUCUGAAGACCGUUGUUGUGUUCCACUGGCUGAGGGGAAGAACCCACAAAUCUUUCUCUUGACCGUUCUCCUCUGAGAAUCCUGGUGCCAUCUUGAAGGAUAUUCCAGCUCAUGUAACUGAUGUCACGACAGUUUCUUAAACACUUGGUUUCUCCUGAGGGGCGUGUCUAUAGAACGGAAGACUUCAGACAGCACUGUAUCCCAGCAUGUAUCUCUGCUCACUCAGACCACACCCCCAUGAGUAGGAUGCAACACUCUAGUGAUGGAGAUGUAGAGUUUUAUAAGUAACAAGGGAGCAGACUAAGGUGAUUAGAACACAAUGGAAUGUCCAGUCUGUAAAUCUUUAAACCAUGAAGAUGGUUGGAUAGUUCAGGAAUUGGGCUUCUUUUUAUUAUGGGCAGUCCUUUCACUCGGAUGCCCACGAUGAUGCCCAUGAUUUGCUGUUGGUGAUGAGGCGGUCAGGGUGACGUUGCAGGGCUAUGGUCGGCUCUCUGCUCAACGUUUAGAUUUGCUCUGUAUGGUUUAUACCCGGAAUAAUCUAGAUAAUUGUAAAAUGUAUACACGGUUUUGUAUUGAAUGAUUUUAGUUUUAAAGUUGUUGUGGGACGUACAUGGUAGUUUGGUUCUUCGUAUGGUUUUGAGUGAUAUAACUUGUACACACCGGGUGCAUAAUAAUGUAAAGGUACACUGAAUAGUAAUGACCAACAGCAACAAACAGAUCUCCUCAAGGUAAGUCUGUUGGCUGUGUUUUAAUGAAGACCAUCGCUGGACUUCAGGAUCUUCCUCCGUUCAGCUCAAGGUGAGGCGCUGGUUCUGUUUUUUCUUUGGUUGGUUCCGGCCGGAAUGUUCGGAUUCCAGUCGGACGGUUUGUGCUUCCCGCCGUGGAAGGUUCUGAGUGCGGUCACUUGAUUUAGUCCCAAUGGUUAGCAUAGAACGUUGUAGUCUUGACAACCAUAAGAAACCACCUGGCAGUUUGUUGGACUGGAGUCCCCUGAGGGAAUCUGGCGGAACGUUCUGGAUUGUAUUUGCGUAACCUCGAGCCGUUUCCUAUUCUAUUUCAGUCGGUUUCGAUUGGGAAUUGUUGCCCCUAUCUAAAACAACUUAAGUCUGAUAUUAAAUACAUACUCAUGCGUACGUCGUACAAUAUGUUGAUAAAUUCCGAUGGUUGCGCCGUACUUUUAACCACGAUGACGUGACGGGACUCUCACUGCGUACAAAACGGCGUUCUACUUGCGGGCCCAUUUUUGACAUCAGGGGAGGCUGAAAAUCAUUUCAAGGUGGAAGCUAAUUUGACAUUUCUUCAACGGAACCCAGCACCUGAAUAUGGCUGAGUAUAUUUGAUUUAAUAUCGAUACUGCUUAGAGUUCUUUGUUACUUCAACUUUUGUAUGUUCUUAAUAUCUGCUGUCAUUAAUUGCCACAGAAGUUAAACCCUACCCAAUGGAAUGACGUUAAACAACGACUUUGGUUCAGUUACCAACUUCAUAAUAUCAAAGCUAAAAUACACAUGUUACAAUAGAAGAUACUCUAGUCUAGAACUGUACAAGGUUAAAAAGGUAACAUGUAGUUUGUCCCAAGGUGUUUGCCUCCUCACCCAGAGCAAGACCUCCACCUCCGCACCCAGAGCCAGACCUCCACCUCCUCACCCAGAGCCAGACCUCCAACUCCUCACCAAGAGACAGACCUCCACCUCCAGUCAGAAGUCCUCCAGAACAGCUGAACUGAGAGGCUGGGGACCAGAGGCUUGUGGUGCCAGGGUGGACCGGAGACUGAGGCUGGAGACCAGGGGCCCACAGCACCGGACCAGAGGGUAACCAUCACCAAGCUCAUCUGAAACACUAAAAUCCACGGUAGUUUAGGUCUAGUUUUGAUCAUCUUAUGACUUUAAAUCUGUGCCAAGCUGUGAUUUUAGUUAAUUUAUACGGGGGUUAUGUAGUAGUCAUAUGAGCCAUUAAUGUUACUAGUGCUCCUACGACCGUAGUGGAUGAAUUGCUGAAUGCGACAAUCUGCAGACAUUGUCUAAUUUAAGUGUUUAAAUUUGUAUUCCAUUUUACAAGUGAACCUCAGAUGCAGGAGGUGGGGUGUGUUGCGUCACCAGGUGAUUUACUGCUGAGAUGAACUGGGUUUGUAACCAGACCAGGAAUCCAUGUCUGGAGGAGCCGUGCUGAUGGAGGACCCGUGCUGAAGGAGCUGUUGGAGGAGUCGUGCUGAAGGCCCUGCCUGGUGAAGGACCUGCCUGGUGAAGGACGUCUGUCAUGGGGUAGAUGGAGCUUGACUCGGAAGUGAUCAUCACUGCUACCACAAACUACCGGCGUUUGUACCAUAUAUACCAGACGACUACAUCUGUUUUACCACAUGUUGAAGCAAGACUUCCGCUGUUUUUCCAGACUAGCUGUAAGUCCACACAAGAAGCGAAUUGAGCGACCAAAUCGCCGGAAGUCAUUCACUUUCUAUGGGCAAAAGCGACCAAAGCGACCAACGCUACCAGCGGCCAAAGUUGAGCGACCAGAGUGUCAAAAAGAAGUUGAAAACUUUUUAACUUUAUGCAAAUGACUAUUAUUCGCUUCAGCGGCCAAACACUGACAGCCAAUCGGAAUGUAGACGCUCUUCGCUUGCGUGGAUCCCAGGGAACAUCGGCAGGCACUUUGGUUCCUACCUACCUUUAUUCACUCACUGAACAAAAUGUCGGCUGAAGUAUUAAUCGCGGCUGUAACUGGGCACCCGGUGUUGUACGAACCCACCCUUUUUCAGUUCAGAGAUCGAAACGCCAUGGGGGUUUGGAUAUCAAGUGAUGAUAAGCGGGAGUAUUUAUAGGCUACAUCUAGAACGUUCGUAUUUAAGCGGGAAUCAUUUUAAUUUGCUCUAAAUGCCACCAAUCUAACCAACCAAUCGCGUGUAGCAUGCUUUAAACAAAACCAAAAAAAAAUUGAAAUCGUCACAUAAACAAACUAAUCGACAAGACGAGGGAUAAAUGACAAGGGAUAUAUCUCUUGUCUUUUAUCCCUCUAUUCCCCACUAUUCACGGAGCCUGAGGUGAAUAAUUGUUAAUUAAAUAGUCUAGAUAGAUAGAUAGCCUAGUCAAGUCUUUAUUAAUACCAAACGACACAAAUCGUCGGGAAUCCAUUUAGGUGGUUCGGCCCACACAGGACAGUAGCCUACAAGACCACACAGAACAAGUCUGACUGGACAUACACACAAUACAUCACAUUAAAACUAGACACGCGUUGAUAGAUAGAUAGACAGAAAGGCCUAGAUAUAUAGAUAUAUUCCAUUAUUUGCCUUGCGGAGCCAACCAGUCCUGUGCACGUAUGCAAAUUAGCCAUGUGCGACAAUGACUAUUUGUUUUGAAUGCAACGAAUGAGUGCAGAUCAUGAUUUGCAGAUCCAGAUCAGUGAAACAUAUUUCAACUACUACAGCACGCAGGGUUUUUUGUUCUCGGUUGUAAUUAGCCUACAUUUUAGGAUUUUUUUUUAUAUUGGGGGGAAUCCCUGUCCUACUUGUUGUCGAAGCACUUUAUCGAACAAGCAAAACCGUCUCGGCAAUAUGGCCAAGGUGUAUGGGAGAGUUCACUAUUUGAUAUGGCUGUCUGUAGGGCCUACUAAACGCAUACGGCUCCUUUUAAAUGCUUCUGCAUAAUUGAAUUGUACGUCAUGAGCGACCAAAGCGAACAGAAAAAUUCGUAGGGAAACUUUGUGAGCGACCAAAGCGUCUUCGCUCCUGGUGUGGACGUACAGUAGGACUCUGUCUGAGGAGAGCUGCUGGAGGAGCUGAGACGCUGGAGGAUGACUAGGAAUCGACCAACAAGGAUUCCUCAACGUGUUCCUGGAGAGGAGGCGAGCUGGUAGGGGAGCCGUGAAUCUGGAGGAUGAACAUCACUCUACAAACAAGGAUUACCACGACUCUGGCUGUGGAGAGCUGAUGGAGGAGCCAAGACUCUGGAGGACGACAUCGCUCCACCAACCAGGAUCCUCACCAGGAAUCUGGAGGAUGGAGAUGGAGAAGCCGUACAUCUGGAAGGAAAAUCCUGAGGAUCACCAGCACUCUACCAUCAAGGAUUCCUCAUAAGUUUGCAUUAUCUGGACAUGGUGGACUAGACGCACCUGAGCUGAACCUCACCUGAUCCUGUUUGGUCGGGGGUAGACACACCUGAACUAAACCCGCCCUGAUCCUGACAUCCUGCUGGUCCCGUCUCCUCAGUUCAUCUGAGCCUUGUCCUCCAGAAGACCUGCUGAGCUCAGCAGUCUGAGGCUGAUGGAUCACUGACCUCCAGUGGGAGUGAUCUUCUUGACCUCACUACUUCACUACUCUCUACUGCUUCCUCUUUUCUUCCUUCUCUCUGGUUCAAAUCUUUACACUGAAGGCGCGUCUUCCUGCCCUCAGAGAGUUUAGCGUUAGGGUUGAGAGUCAGGGUUUAGAGUCAGGGACAGAGCUGGUCAGGGAGGACUGCUUUUACACAAACCUCUUCACUUGCUUUCGGAAUGGUGGUGACAUUUCGAAAAGAUUAACUUGGAAAAUGUUUUCCUCUGCUUUCCUUUAUAAUAUUGUAUUACAUUUCUGUCAAGUGUUUUUGUUUUCAUAUAUUAAAAUCCCACAUUGACUUCUA